RNAcentral lists this ribosomal RNA (209 nucleotides) under uncultured bacterium. RNAcentral's name for it is "partial 16S ribosomal RNA". It matches the Rfam family "Bacterial small subunit ribosomal RNA", at positions 568 to 776 of the family's 1533-position model. The record is from RNAcentral.
AGCGUAGACGGCGGAGCAAGUCUGAAGUGAAAGCCCGGGGCUCAACCCCGGGACUGCUUUGGAAACUGUUCCGCUAGAGUGCUGGAGAGGUAAGUGGAAUUCCUAGUGUAGCGGUGAAAUGCGUAGAUAUUAGGAGGAACACCAGUGGCGAAGGCGGCUUACUGGACAGUAACUGACGUUGAGGCUCGAAAGCGUGGGGAGGCAAAACA